GAGUUUGAUCCUGGCUCAGGAUAAACGCUAGCGGCAGGCCUAACACAUGCAAGUCGAGGGGCAGCGGGUGGAGUAUUUCGGUACUCCUGCCGGCGACCGGCGCACGGGUGCGUAACGCGUAUGCAACCUACCUUUAACAGGGGGAUAAUCCGAAGAAAUUUGGUCUAAUACCCCAUAAUAUCAUUUAAGGCAUCUUAGAUGGUUGAAAAUUCCGAUGGUUAGAGAUGGGCAUGCGUUGUAUUAGCUAGUUGGUGAGGUAACGGCUCACCAAGGCUACGAUACAUAGGGGGACUGAGAGGUUUUCCCCCCACACUGGUACUGAGACACGGACCAGACUCCUACGGGAGGCAGCAGUGAGGAAUAUUGGUCAAUGGACGCAAGUCUGAACCAGCCAUGCCGCGUGCAGGAUGAAGGUGCUAUGCAUUGUAAACUGCUUUUGUACGAGGGUAAAUGCAGGUACGUGUACCUGUUUGAAAGNNNNNNNNNNNNNNNNNNNNUUUUCCUGAGCGGCCC
This 513-nucleotide non-coding RNA is filed under the name Alistipes indistinctus YIT 12060. RNAcentral describes it as "Bacterial small subunit ribosomal RNA". It matches the Rfam family "Bacterial small subunit ribosomal RNA", at positions 9 to 511 of the family's 1533-position model. Lineage: Bacteria; Pseudomonadati; Bacteroidota; Bacteroidia; Bacteroidales; Rikenellaceae. The record is from Rfam by way of RNAcentral.